CCUACGGGAGGCUGCAGUGGGGAAUAUUGGACAAUGGGGGGAACCCUGAUCCAGCCAUGCCGCGUGUGUGAAGAAGGCCCUCGGGUUGUAAAGCACUUUCAGUGAGGAAGAACGCCUGGUGGUUAAUACCCAUCAGGAAAGACAUCACUCACAGAAGAAGCACCGACUAACUCCGUGCCAGCAGCCGCGGUAAUACGGAGGGUGCGAGCGUUAAUCGGAAUUACUGGGCGUAAAGCGCGCGUAGGUGGCUUGAUAAGCCGGUUGUGAAAGCCCCGGGCUCAACCUGGGAACGGCAUCCGGAACUGUCAAGCUAGAGUGCAGGAGAGGAAGGUAGAAUUCCCGGUGUAGCGGUGAAAUGCGUAGAGAUCGGGAGGAAUACCAGUGGCGAAGGCGGCCUUCUGGACUGACACUGACACUGAGGUGCGAAAGCGUGGGUAGCAAACAGGAUUAGAUACCCGGGUAGUC
Molecule: ribosomal RNA, 465 nt
Filed under: Vreelandella stevensii
Lineage: Bacteria; Pseudomonadati; Pseudomonadota; Gammaproteobacteria; Oceanospirillales; Halomonadaceae
Description: partial 16S ribosomal RNA
Rfam family: Bacterial small subunit ribosomal RNA
Source: RNAcentral